This 499-nucleotide ribosomal RNA is filed under the name uncultured bacterium. RNAcentral describes it as "bacterial SSU rRNA". It matches the Rfam family "Bacterial small subunit ribosomal RNA", at positions 29 to 507 of the family's 1533-position model. The record is from RNAcentral.
ACGAACGCUGGCGGCGUGCCUAAUACAUGCAAGUCGAGCGGAAUGAUGAAGAAGCUUGCUUCUUCUGAUUUUAGCGGCGGACGGGUGAGUAACACGUGGGCAACCUACCUUGUAGAUUGGGAUAACUCCGGGAAACCGGGGCUAAUACCGAAUAAUCCAUUUUGCUUCAUGGCGAGAUGUUAAAAGGCGGCUUCGGCUGUCACUACGAGAUGGGCCCGCGGCGCAUUAGCUAGUUGGUAGGGUAAUGGCCUACCAAGGCGACGAUGCGUAGCCGACCUGAGAGGGUGAUCGGCCACACUGGGACUGAGACACGGCCCAGACUCCUACGGGAGGCAGCAGUAGGGAAUCUUCCACAAUGGACGAAAGUCUGAUGGAGCAACGCCGCGUGAGUGAAGAAGGUUUUCGGAUCGUAAAACUCUGUUGUAAGGGAAGAGCACGUACGAGAGUAACUGCUCGUACCUUGACGGUACCUUAUUAGAAAGCCACGGCUAACUACGUG